AAACAAGAUUCGACCGUUGCGAAAGCCAACAAACCCUAAUUUUCUUCGCGCCUCUCCCGAGCGCCAUUAGAGGCGACGACGAUCCCCAAUCUCUCUCUCUCUUUCUUUCUCAUUCGAUCUAAUCGAUCGUCACGACGACGAAGAAGAAGAUGUUCUUGGAGUCGGAGGAGGAGGAGGAGGAGGAGGAGGAGAUUCCGCCAUUAAUGGCGGUGGAAGCAAUCGAAUACCCACGAGGAGGAGGAGGAGGCAGCGGCGGCGAGUUAUUGGUUCCUCCUCCCAAUUUUGCGAUGGUGGAUAAGGGCAUCUACAGGUCCGGGUUCCCCAAUCCGGCCAAUUUCGGCUUCUUGGAAACGCUAAAUCUUCGAUCCAUCGUGUACUUGUGCCCGGAGCCCUAUCCGGAGGAGAAUGCGGAGUUUCUGAGGUCUCAUGGGAUUCGGUUGCUCCAGUUUGGGAUCGAAGGGAACAAGGAGCCUUUUGCAUCCAUACCUAAGGCUGCCAUCAUUGGUGCCCUUAAGAUCUUACUUGAUCUAAGGAAUCAUCCCAUUCUAAUCCACUGCAACCGAGGGAAGCAUCGGACAGGGUGCCUCGUGGCCUGUCUCAGGAAGCUGCAGUCUUGGUGCCUGACUUCUGUUUUCGAGGAAUAUCGGCGAUUCGCCGCUGACAAAUCCCGGCUUUCGGAUAUGAGAUUCAUUGAGAUGUUUGAUGUAUCAUGCAUCAGCCAGUGUGUACUUGGUCUUAUAUAUAGGGGCACUUUGGCUUGCCCUCCUUCGUCUUCCAGUUGUUGUAGCAAGGGCACUCCUCCUUGUGCCCAUAUGUUCCCGACGGGACGCAGUGGCACUUCUGGCAGCACUCGUUGCAGAAGAACAAGCACGGCUUCUUGUGGGACGUCGCGGAGCAUCUGUACUCGCACUUCACCGGGCAUUCUAUUUUUUUAUUAUUUUUUUUUUUUUAAAGUGGUAAAAAGAAGAACCGAACAAAGGUACAUGUUUUAGUUUAUUGUAGUUCGAGUUUGCUUUAACACUAUAUUGGCUCACUUCUUUGUUAUCCCUUGCUUAUUUUAGGUGAAUUCAAGCACAUGAGGGAAGCAUCUGUCAAUGUUUUUUUUCCUGUGAUUAUUUUGGACACUGACAUAUUUUAAUCUUAUAUUAUGAUGAAGUUGAAGGUGGAAACACUUUUUUGUUUACCUUCUGGAGGAACUGAGCCUUCUCCGCCUGUCUGUAAUGUUCAGCAGGAAAAGGAGUUCAGAUUAGAGUAAACAUCAUGAGAAAUUUACAGUUGGUUAUUGAUGCGACCGACGAAAUAUUUCACUUAUAUGUGUUGCAAACUUACUGGUAGAUAAUGCGAGGCGUUUGCGCCGCCAAUGAUCUCCGCCUGCAAAGGAACACCAUGUGUUUAGAAAACAAGCGAAUUUCGAUUCGGCUUGCUGAUCUUGGGGCUUCUAUCUCUGUUCAUCUCUGGAACUACUCGUCUAAUUUGAGAAGCAGAGACUGCUUCUGACAAAUAAAUGUAAGCUCCUGAUUGAUGGA
Ananas comosus (pineapple) is the source of this 1526-nucleotide RNA transcript. It is a transcript of the gene named probable tyrosine-protein phosphatase At1g05000, with no coding region annotated. NCBI's taxonomy places the organism in Eukaryota, Viridiplantae, Streptophyta, Magnoliopsida, Poales, Bromeliaceae. The transcript is spliced from 7 exons. The record is from RefSeq and is a predicted model, not a curated record.